GAUGAACGCUGGCGGCGUGCCUAAUACAUGCAAGUCGAGCGAACGGACGAGAAGCUUGCUUCUCUGAUGUUAGCGGCGGACGGGUGAGUAACACGUGGAUAACCUACCUAUAAGACUGGGAUAACUUCGGGAAACCGGAGCUAAUACCGGAUAAUAUUUUGAACCGCAUGGUUCAAAAGUGAAAGACGGUCUUGCUGUCACUUAUAGAUGGAUCCGCGCUGCAUUAGCUAGUUGGUAAGGUAACGGCUUACCAAGGCAACGAUGCAUAGCCGACCUGAGAGGGUGAUCGGCCACACUGGAACCGAGACACGGUCCAGACUCCUACGGGAGGCAGCAGUAGGGAAUCUUCCGCAAUGGGCGAAAGCCUGACGGAGCAACGCCGCGUGAGUGAUGAAGGUCUUCGGAUCGUAAAACUCUGUUAUUAGGGAAGAACAUAUGUGUAAGUAACUGUGCACAUCUUGACGGUACCUAAUCAGAAAGCCACGGCUAACUACGUGCCAGCAGCCGCGGUAAUACGUAGGUGGCAAGCGUUAUCCGGAAUUAUUGGGCGUAAAGCGCGCGUAGGCGGUUUUUUAAGUCUGAUGUGAAAGCCCACGGCUCAACCGUGGAGGGUCAUUGGAAACUGGAAAACUUGAGUGCAGAAGAGGAAAGUGGAAUUCCAUGUGUAGCGGUGAAAUGCGCAGAGAUAUGGAGGAACACCAGUGGCGAAGGCGACUUUCUGGUCUGUAACUGACGCUGAUGUGCGAAAGCGUGGGGAUCAAACAGGAUUAGAUACCCUGGUAGUCCACGCCGUAAACGAUGAGUGCUAAGUGUUAGGGGGUUUCCGCCCCUUAGUGCUGCAGCUAACGCAUUAAGCACUCCGCCUGGGGAGUACGACCGCAAGGUUGAAACUCAAAGGAAUUGACGGGGACCCGCACAAGCGGUGGAGCAUGUGGUUUAAUUCGAAGCAACGCGAAGAACCUUACCAAAUCUUGACAUCCUUUGACAACUCUAGAGAUAGAGCCUUCCCCUUCGGGGGACAAAGUGACAGGUGGUGCAUGGUUGUCGUCAGCUCGUGUCGUGAGAUGUUGGGUUAAGUCCCGCAACGAGCGCAACCCUUAAGCUUAGUUGCCAUCAUUAAGUUGGGCACUCUAAGUUGACUGCCGGUGACAAACCGGAGGAAGGUGGGGAUGACGUCAAAUCAUCAUGCCCCUUAUGAUUUGGGCUACACACGUGCUACAAUGGACAAUACAAAGGGCAGCGAAACCGCGAGGUCAAGCAAAUCCCAUAAAGUUGUUCUCAGUUCGGAUUGUAGUCUGCAACUCGACUACAUGAAGCUGGAAUCGCUAGUAAUCGUAGAUCAGCAUGCUACGGUGAAUACGUUCCCGGGUCU
Molecule: ribosomal RNA, 1372 nt
Filed under: uncultured bacterium
Lineage: Bacteria
Description: bacterial SSU rRNA
Rfam family: Bacterial small subunit ribosomal RNA
Source: RNAcentral